UGUGUAGUAAAGAUUAAAAGUGCCCACAAGUUAAUUGCCUUUUAAGAUAGUAGGGAAAUCAGUGAGAAUCUGAUGCAGCACCUGUUACUGUAUGUGUCGAUGAAAUUGUCAUGCGAUUGGAAAAUAAUUCAAGGAAGGGACAAAAGUAAGUUUUAGACACAAGUCAGGAAGAUCGCUUUUAAUUGUUUGCUUCC
RNAcentral lists this non-coding RNA (194 nucleotides) under Bacillus sp. (in: firmicutes). The record is from RNAcentral. Lineage: Bacteria; Bacillati; Bacillota; Bacilli; Caryophanales; Bacillaceae.